This 254-nucleotide ribosomal RNA is filed under the name uncultured bacterium. RNAcentral's name for it is "partial 16S ribosomal RNA". It matches the Rfam family "Bacterial small subunit ribosomal RNA", at positions 524 to 776 of the family's 1533-position model. The record is from RNAcentral.
UACGUAGGUGGCAAGCGUUGUCCGGAAUUAUUGGGCGUAAAGCGCGCGCAGGCGGUCCUUUAAGUCUGAUGUGAAAGCCCACGGCUCAACCGUGGAGGGUCAUUGGAAACUGGGGGACUUGAGUACAGAAGAGAAGAGUGGAAUUCCACGUGUAGCGGUGAAAUGCGUAGAGAUGUGGAGGAACACCAGUGGCGAAGGCGACUCUUUGGUCUGUAACUGACGCUGGAGGCGCGAAAGCGUGGGGAGCAAACAGG